UACGUAGGCAGCAAACGUUGUUCGGAAUUACUGGGCGUAAAGAGUGUGUAGGCGGCUCUGUAAGUUUGGUGUGAAAUCUCCCGGCUUAACUGGGAGGGUGCGCCGAAAACUGCAAGGCUUGAGUGCUGGAGAGGAUAGCGGAAUUCCUGGUGUAGCGGUGAAAUGCGUAGAUAUCAGGAGGAACACCGAUGGCGAAGGCAGUGGUCUGGGCCGAUACUGACGCUGAGGAGCGAAAGCGUGGGGAGCGAACAGG
Molecule: ribosomal RNA, 253 nt
Filed under: uncultured bacterium
Lineage: Bacteria
Description: partial 16S ribosomal RNA
Rfam family: Bacterial small subunit ribosomal RNA
Source: RNAcentral